GAUGAACGCUAGCGGCAGGCCUAAUACAUGCAAGUCGAACGGAUAUAUGUUUUUCGGAAUAUAUAUUAGUGGCGCACGGGUGAGUAACACGUACAUAACUUGCCCUCAAGCGGGGGAUAGCCUUGGGAAACUGAGAGUAAUACCCCAUAGAAUUAUUGGACGGCAUCGUUUGAUAAUUAAAACUACGGUGUUUGGGGAUAGAUGUGCGUCUGAUUAGCUAGUUGGUGAGGUAACUGCUCACCAAGGCGACGAUCAGUAGGGGGCGUGAGAGCGUGGCCCCCCACACGGGUACUGAGACACGGACCCGACUCCUACGGGAGGCAGCAGUAAGGAAUAUUGGUCAAUGCCCGGAAGGGUGAACCAGCCAUGCCGCGUGAAGGAUGACUGCCCUCUGGGUUGUAAACUUACUUUUGGUAUGGGACGAAAAAACGGGAGUUUAUCCUGGACUGACGGUACCACUCAGAAUAAGCACCGGCUAACUCCGUGCCAGCAGACGCGGUAAAAUAGUCGUGU
RNAcentral lists this ribosomal RNA (513 nucleotides) under uncultured bacterium. Its description in RNAcentral is "bacterial SSU rRNA". It matches the Rfam family "Bacterial small subunit ribosomal RNA", at positions 28 to 533 of the family's 1533-position model. The record is from RNAcentral.